RNAcentral lists this ribosomal RNA (409 nucleotides) under uncultured microorganism. Its description in RNAcentral is "bacterial SSU rRNA". It matches the Rfam family "Bacterial small subunit ribosomal RNA", at positions 509 to 917 of the family's 1533-position model. The record is from RNAcentral.
CAGCCGCCGCGGUAAUACGUAGGUGGCAAGCGUUGUCCGGAAUUAUUGGGCGUAAAGCGCGCGCAGGCGGUUUCUUAAGUCUGAUGUGAAAGCCCCCGGCUUAACCGGGGAGGGUCAUUGGAAACUGGGAGACUUGAGUGCAGGAGAGGGAAGCGGAAUUCCAUGUGUAGCGGUGAAAUGCGUAGAGAUAUGGAGGAACACCAGUGGCGAAGGCGGCUUCCUGGCCUGUAACUGACGCUGAGGCGCGAAAGCGUGGGGAGCAAACAGGAUUAGAUACCCUGGUAGUCCACGCCGUAAACGAUGAGUGCUAAGUGUUAGGGGGUUUCCACCCCUUAGUGCUGCAGCUAACGCAUUAAGCACUCCGCCUGGGGAGUACGGUCGCAAGACUGAAACUUAAAGAAUUGGCGGG